CCUACGGGAGGCAGCAGUGAGGAAUAUUGGUCAAUGGGCGCGAGACUGAACCAGCCAAGUAGCGUGAAGGAUGACUGCCCUACGGGUUGUAAACUUCUUUUAUAAAGGAAUAAAGUGAGGCACGUGUGCCUUUUUGUAUGUACUUUAUGAAUAAGGAUCGGCUAACUCGGUGCCAGCAGCCGCGGUAAUACGGAGGAUCCGAGCGUUAUCCGGAUUUAUUGGGUUUAAAGGGAGCGUAGAUGGGUUGUUAAGUCAGUUGUGAAAGUUUGCGGCUCAACCGUAAAAUUGCAAUUGAUACUGGCAGUCUUGAGUACAGUUGAGGUAGGCGGAAUUCGUGGUGUAGCGGUGAAAUGCUUAGAUAUCACGAAGAACUCCGAUUGCGAAGGCAGCUUACUAAACUGCCACUGACAUUGAUGCUCGAAAGUGUGGGUAUCAAACAGGAUUAGAUACCCCAGUAGUC
Molecule: ribosomal RNA, 460 nt
Filed under: uncultured bacterium
Lineage: Bacteria
Description: partial 16S ribosomal RNA
Rfam family: Bacterial small subunit ribosomal RNA
Source: RNAcentral